AACCUUGUCAAUUUUCGGCUGCCGAAGAUUAAGUUCGGCCUCCUAAAAUUGCCCAUUUUCGGCCGCCGAAGCUUAGUUCGGCCGCCGAAACUGCGCGCUCCUUAAAAGCCCCCGCGACAGCUCAUCUUCUUCCUCGCGCGACUCUCUCUCUCCCCCGAAGCUUUCUCUCUCUCCCCGAAGCUCCCUUCGUUCUCCCUCUCAAAA
RNAcentral lists this long non-coding RNA (204 nucleotides) under Manihot esculenta (cassava). RNAcentral describes it as "long non-coding RNA (MESC_LNC013036)". The record is from RNAcentral. Lineage: Eukaryota; Viridiplantae; Streptophyta; Magnoliopsida; Malpighiales; Euphorbiaceae.